Molecule: unclassified non-coding RNA, 313 nt
Filed under: plant metagenome
Description: partial contains small subunit ribosomal RNA, internal transcribed spacer 1, and 5.8S ribosomal RNA
Source: RNAcentral
UUUCCGUAGGUGAACCUGCGGAAGGAUCAUUAUUGAAUGAACUUGGUAGUGGUUGUAGCUGGCUCUCUCGAGAGCAUGUGCACACCCGCCAUCUUUAUCUUUCCACCUGUGCACUUCUUGUAGAUUUUGGGAUUUGAAAACUUAUCCGGGGCAGCUCGGUCGGGAGGAGCUGCUGUAGCAAUACGGCUCUCCUUGACAAGUCUUCAAAGUCUAUGUUUUUCAUAUACCCCAUAGUAUGUAACAGAAUGUAUACAAAUGAGCCUUAGUGCUUAUAAAACUUAUACAACUUUCAACAACGGAUCUCUUGGCUCUC